UUGCCUAUGGGAUGAACAGAUCUCUGUAUUUAUGACCAUUUUUUCACUUAGUCAGCUGUAGCUGAUCAUUUGAAUGUUUCACUUAGUCAGCUGUAGCUGAUCAUUUGAAUGGGAAAUGA
Molecule: small nucleolar RNA, 119 nt
Filed under: Leersia perrieri
Lineage: Eukaryota; Viridiplantae; Streptophyta; Magnoliopsida; Poales; Poaceae
Description: Small nucleolar RNA snoR99
Rfam family: Small nucleolar RNA snoR99
Source: Rfam by way of RNAcentral